RNAcentral lists this unclassified non-coding RNA (390 nucleotides) under Hevea brasiliensis (rubber tree). The record is from RNAcentral. Lineage: Eukaryota; Viridiplantae; Streptophyta; Magnoliopsida; Malpighiales; Euphorbiaceae.
GCCCCAUGUGUAAACGCCGGUUCUCCAUCAUCCGCCGCCCUGCUAGACCUCCCAUUUUCCCUUCCGAACGCGUUGUCAAUGUUCCUGUCCGCGAUCAGGUUUAUCAUUGCCAUGGAAAUGCAACAACUGGACCACGGGAUCUGUAUGCAGAAGUCCAAUGUAACGUGUGCCAUAGCACGGCUGAUGACGUUCUCCUGCUGUUGUGCGACCUUUGUGACACUGCUUAUCAUACUUAUUGUGUUGGCCUUGGUGCUACUGUUCCUGAGGGUGAUUGGUUUUGUGCAGACUGCGCCCUUCUGAAGGCUGAACAGGCCCAGAGUGACAUCAAAACUGAUUGCUGUACCCAAACUAGUUUCGGUGAACCCCAAUCAGCAGAAUCAACAAGACAAG